UAAUAUAUGAUUUUUCAUGGAAUCCAUUAUUGCUAGUCCUAUGCUACCCUGAAGAAAGUGCUUACAAGUUACAACAUCUAUGUUUCAUGGCUCACAGCCAAUUCAGUUCAAGGAACUUGUCCAGAAUCACCUAAAAUGUAUAUAAUUCAAGGAAAAAUACAGCAAUUCCGGAAACAGAACAAGGUACAGAAGAAGCAGAAACAUGAAACAUUUAUGAGGAUUGAAGGAACCUGAAUCCACUUAACAAAGAGCUCCAAAAGCCGUUUUGAGUUUUGUUACUUCGAUUCCUCAUCCAGCAGAAAAGAAGUACAGGAGAGAAGUGAUGACAGCUCUUCUUCUGUUGCCAAUCCAGAAGCUUGCCAUCGUAUUCUACCAAAUUUGUCAACCAAGAACAUGUACCCAGUCAGAAGGUUCAGUAUUUUAAGCUCUUUCCGGAAAUAGUAAUGGUCUCCAAACGAAUAAACAAUCUGUCUAUGCACGACAUCCUUGCUUUCAUGAGGGUUAGAUUUCCUCAUCAUCCGAAGUAGCAGUUUCUUCACAGGACUGAGUGUCAAAACCCACGAAUCUAUCAAGGAGAUCUCAUAGAGCUGAACCCUUUUGGAAUCUUUGAAUGUAUCUAGAAAUGGCUUGCUCCAAGAAUCUAUCAUUGCCUGUGAGCUUGCACGGAAUGAAAGACACAUCAACGACGCCUUUGAUGCUUCUAAUUUAUUUGCCUCAACGCCAUCUCCAGUGGAUGUGAUGGGAAGCUUAACGUUUGAACCAUCUGAGUGAAUCACUUCCAGUGCAGGAAACUUCACCGCCAGGGAGGCUGCUCUUCGUGA
Molecule: unclassified non-coding RNA, 821 nt
Filed under: Hevea brasiliensis (rubber tree)
Lineage: Eukaryota; Viridiplantae; Streptophyta; Magnoliopsida; Malpighiales; Euphorbiaceae
Source: RNAcentral